UAAUACGUAGGGUGCGAGCGUUAAUCGGAAUUACUGGGCGUAGAGCGUGCGCAGGCGGCUUCGCAAGUCAGGUGUGAAAUCCCCGGGCUUAACCUGGGAAUGGCGCUUGAAACUGCGGGGCUAGAGUCUGCCAGAGGGGGGUGGAAUUCCACGUGUAGCAGUGAAAUGCGUAGAGAUGUGGAGGAACACCGAUGGCGAAGGCAGCCCCCUGGGGUAAGACUGACGCUCAGGCACGAAAGCGUGGGGAGCAAACAGGAUUAGAUACCCUGGUAGUCCACGCCCUAAACGAUGUCAACUAGUUGUUGGGGGAGUUGAAUCCCUCGGUAACGGAGCUAACGCGUGAAGUUGACCGCCUGGGGAGUACGGCCGCAAGGUUA
Molecule: ribosomal RNA, 377 nt
Filed under: uncultured bacterium
Lineage: Bacteria
Description: bacterial SSU rRNA
Rfam family: Bacterial small subunit ribosomal RNA
Source: RNAcentral